UCAAGCAACUAAGAGCAUUUGGUGGAUGCCUUGGCGUCAAGAGGCGAUGAAGGACGUAAUACUUUGCGAUAAGCUUCGGGGAGGCGAGAAUGGCCUGUAAUCCGAAGAUCUCCGAAUGGGGAAACCCACGCUUUUAAGCGUAUUCCAUGCUGAAUACAUAGGUAUGGAAAGCGAACCUGGGGAACUGAAACAUCUAAGUACCCAGAGGAAAGGAAAUCAACCGAGACUCCGUUAGUAGUGGCGAGCGAACGCGGAUUAGCCCAGUGAUUUUACUGCAUAAACCGGAACGGUCUGGAAAGGCCGGUCAUAGAGGGUGAUAACCCCGUACGGGCAGAUAUGCGGCAAAAUUCUUGAGUAGGGCGGGACACGAGAAAUCCUGCUUGAACAUGGGGGGACCAUCCUCCAAGGCUAAGUACUACUUGACGACCGAUAGUGCACGAGUACUGUGAAGGAAAGGCGAAAAGAACCCCGAGAGGGGAGUGAAAUAGAACCUGAAACCGAAUGCUUACAAACAGUCGGAGCGGCUUUAUGCCGUGACGGCGUACCUUUUGUAUAAUGAGUCAGCGAGUUAGUGUUGUAUGCAAGCUUAAACCGUUAGGUGUAGGCGUAGCGAAAGCGAGUCUUAACAGGGCGUUAUGAGUAUGCAGCAUUAGACCCGAAACCCGGCGAUCUAGCCAUGGCCAGGCCGAAGAUAGGGUAACACCUAUUGAAGGGCCGAACCCGUUUCUGUUGCAAUAGAAUGGGAUGAGCUGUGGCUAGGGGUGAAAGGCCAAUCAAGCCGGGAGAUAGCUGGUUCUCCGCGAAAGCUAUUUAGGUAGCGCGUCGGACGAUUUCCAUCGGGGGUAGAGCACUGGAUAGGCUAGGGGGACGCGAGUCUUACCAAACUUAACCAAACUCCGAAUACCGAUGAGAACAGUCCGGCAGGCAGACUGUGGGCGCUAAGGUCCAUGGUCGAAAGGGAAAAAGCCCAGAUCAUCGUCUAAGGUCCCCAAAUCACAGCUAAGUGUAAAAGGAUGUGGGAAGGCCAAAACAGCCAGGAGGUUGGCUUAGAAGCAGCCAUCCUUUAAAGAAAGCGUAACAGCUCACUGGUCUAAUUAAGCAGUCCUGCGCCGACAAUUCAUCGGGGCUCAAGCUGUGUACCGAAGACAUGGGCUUGCAGCAAUGCAAGCGGUAGCGGAGCGUUCCGUAAGCCUGCGAAGAUGUGGCGUGAGCCAUGUUGGAGGCAUCGGAAGCGAGGAUGCUGACAUGAGUAGCGACAAAGGGGGCGAGAAACCCCCUCACCGAAAACCCAAGGGUUCCUGUUUUAAGUUAAUCUGAGCAGGGUUAGUCGGAGCCUAAGGCGAGGGCGAAAGCCGUAGUCGAUGGUAAUGCGGUUAAUAUUCCGCAACCCGGUGGAAGUGACGGUUCGCAAUUUUUGUUCGUGCUUAACGGAUUGCACGGGCGGGAUGCGCGGAUCCAGGAAAUAACUCCACCAUAAGGUCCGUACCCCAAACCGACACAGGUGGGUAGGUAGAGCAUACCAAGGUGCUUGAAAGAACUGUAUUGAAGGAACUAGGCAAAAUACCUCUGUAACUUCGGGAUAAAGAGGCCUCGUCCGAGGGCAACCUCAGGCGAGGGGCACAAAAGAGAGGGUGGCGACUGUUUAGCAAAAACACAGGACUCUGCUAAGCUGAUGAAGCGAUGUAUAGGGUCUGACGCCUGCCCGGUGCCGGAAGGUUAAGAGGAGGUGUGCAAGCACUGAAUUGAAGCCCCGGUAAACGGCGGCCGUAACUAUAACGGUCCUAAGGUAGCGAAAUUCCUUGUCGGGUAAGUUCCGACCUGCACGAAUGGCGUAACGAUCGCCCUGCUGUCUCCAAUGCAGAUUCAGCGAAAUUGAACUCCGAGUGAAGAUGCUCGGUACCCGCAGCUAGACGGAAAGACCCCAUGAACCUUUACUAUAACUUUGCAGUGGUGUUAGGAUAUGAAUGCGUAGCAUAGGCGGGACGCUUUGAAGCGGUUGUUUCGGCAAUCGUGGAGCGGACGUUGAAAUACCGCCCUUUUAUGUUCUGGCAUCUAACUGCCGGAGUAAUCCUCUGGCAGGACCCUGCAUGGCGGGUAGUUUGACUGGGGCAGUCGCCUCCUAAAAAGUAACAGAGGCGUGCGAAGGUAGGCUCAAUCUGGUCGGAAAUCAGAUGUAGAGUGCAAUGGCAAAAGCCUGCCUGACUGCGAGACUGACAAGUCGAGCAGAGACGAAAGUCGGUCAUAGUGAUCCGGUGGUUCCGUAUGGAAGGGCCAUCGCUCAACGGAUAAAAGGUACUCUGGGGAUAACAGGCUGAUCUUCUCCAAGAGUUCACAUCGACGAGAAGGUUUGGCACCUCGAUGUCGACUCAUCGUGUCCUGGGGCUGGAGCAGGUCCCAAGGGUUCGGCUGUUCGCCGAUUAAAACGGUACGUGAGUUGGGUUCAAAACGUCGUGAGACAGUUUGGUCCCUAUCUACUGUGGGUGUUAGAUACUUGAGAAGAGCUGUCCCUAGUACGAGAGGACCGGGAUGGACGCGCCUCCGGUGCGCCAGUUGUCAUGCCAAUGGCACAGCUGGGUAGCUAAGCGCGGACGGGAUAACCGCUGAAUGCAUCUAAGCGGGAAGCCUCCUUCAAAACAAGGUAUCUCCAUUAGAGCCCUGGCAGACGACCAGGUUGAUAGGCUGGAUGUGGAAGCGCGGCGACGCGUGAAGCUAACCAGUACUAAUAGCUCGAUUGGCUUGAG
This 2741-nucleotide ribosomal RNA is filed under the name Alphaproteobacteria bacterium. Its description in RNAcentral is "23S ribosomal RNA". It matches the Rfam family "Bacterial large subunit ribosomal RNA". The record is from RNAcentral. Lineage: Bacteria; Pseudomonadati; Pseudomonadota; Alphaproteobacteria.